RNAcentral lists this small RNA (820 nucleotides) under Pongo abelii (Sumatran orangutan). RNAcentral's name for it is "processed transcript". Lineage: Eukaryota; Metazoa; Chordata; Mammalia; Primates; Hominidae. The record is from RNAcentral.
UGUUGCCACUAGGCUUAGGCGGAUAGCCUCGCAGAGGAGCCUAGGUGGGGAGGGGGACGAAGAAGUAACGUUUGGGACUGUGGGAUGUUGAAAUGGUCUCUUCGGAGGCUGCCGGGAUUGAAACUGGGCAAGGUCCCAGGGCCCGAGUAGAGCCGGAGCGUGCUACGCGGCGAUCCCUGAGCCACGGGGUUUUCAGCGCCCGGGAAGCCAGGCUUGCCAGGUUGGGGCGGCUGGCGGAGCAGGGCUUCUCGGUCCGUCCCAAGUCCAGGUAAGCGCUCGCGAUCCGCGCGGGCAGGGAGAACGCGCCCCUACAGUGCUCGCGAGGUGCAGUGCGCCCCUGGGGGCUCCGGGGCCGUCGGGCCAGGUCGGCUUGGCGCCCAGGGACUGGCCGGACGGGCUGGGCCUUUGGCGGGGGUGGAAGAGGAGGUUGCCGCGCCCUGCCCGGCCCAGGUGUCGUCUCCGGGGGCGGGGUUUGGAGCCCCGCAGCGGGAGAUUCCCGGCCGGACUGGCGGGCGAGCGUCGAGAGACAGAAGCCGAGAAGAGGAGGCUAAGCCGGGCGGCGCGGGGAGCGCACUGCGCAGGCAAAGUCGCAGGGCCGCCAGUAUGUUCUCCCGAAACCACCGGAGCCGGGUCACCGUGGCCAGGGGCUCCGCCCUGGAGAUGGAGUUCAAACGCGGCCGCUUCCGACUCAGCCUCUUCAGCGACCCGCCCGAGGACACGGAAUUGCAGAGGAAGCUAGACCAUGAGAUCCGGAUGAGGGAAGGGGCCUGUAAGCUGCUGGCAGCCUGCUCCCAGCGAGAGCAGGCUCUGGAGGCCACCA